Molecule: ribosomal RNA, 425 nt
Filed under: Amaurobioides sp. BDO-97
Lineage: Eukaryota; Metazoa; Arthropoda; Arachnida; Araneae; Anyphaenidae
Description: partial 16S ribosomal RNA
Source: RNAcentral
UAACAAAAACAUUUCUAUUAGAUUUUAUUAAUAGUAUAAUCUGCUCAAUGAUAUUAAAUAGCCGCUAUUACUGUGCUAAGGUAGCAUAAUCAUUUGUCUUUUAAUUAAAGACUAGAACAAAAGAUUGAACAUUUUAAUUAAUAUAUCCAAACUAAUUAAUUAAAUUUAUUUUAAAUGUAAAAAAACAUUUAUAAAUUAGAAAGACGAUAAGACCCUAUUAAACUUAACUUAAGUUAAACUGGGGCAGUUAAUUAAUUAUCAUUUUAAUUUAAAUACAAAAAUAAAUAGAUCCUAUAAAAUAGAUUAAAUGAUCAAGUUACUAUAGGGAUAACAGCGUAAUAUUAAUUAAAAGACCUUAUUAAAAUAAAAGAUUACGACCUCGAUGUUGAAUUAAUAACCUAUAUAGUUGCAAUAAACAAUAAAGG